RNAcentral lists this non-coding RNA (24 nucleotides) under Arabidopsis thaliana (thale cress). The record is from RNAcentral. Lineage: Eukaryota; Viridiplantae; Streptophyta; Magnoliopsida; Brassicales; Brassicaceae.
GAACGACCUGUGUGUCCCUUGGAA